UUGUCUCGGUGCUCCAUUUUUUACACCUAAGAUUUACAAGGGAUUGUUUAGAUUCUGUAGAAUAUAAUUAUAUGUAUGUCUCCCAUUAGCUCUUGUUGAGGUGUGGCUUGUGGUGCUCCCUUUUUCACAAAAGAUGUAUAAGGGAAAAGGGAUUUUGUAGAAUAUAAUAAAUUUCAUAGUUGUCACGGCAUCGCCUAGACGUCCUGACGUAACAACAAGCAUCAUGGCGAUGCUUGUCUUAGGGGAGGCUGCCAAGUGCCUUGGCAGCUAAGCAUGCACAAGUCAUUGCCGACGAGAGCCUCAGUAGGGGGGUAAAUUUCAAGCUGGCUUUUUCGUAAUCCAAGACACAUGGACUUUACCCAUUACAAAUCGAAUUAAAAGAGGGAGAGAAGAAAACUAAAAGUCUUCAGCAACUUUUAUUUUGCCGACAAUGAAGAGUAUUUCAAAACACGACUGCGAAGAGAGUCCUAAAAGAUUUCAACUUACAGUCGUCGACCAUAAGCAGCUCGCGACGCAAGUUGCCAACGCCACAGGCAUGCCGUAGUAGUAUUAGAUGGAAAAAUGGAAGAAUACAAAGAAGAAGUGAAAGAAAA
Molecule: long non-coding RNA, 593 nt
Filed under: Panax ginseng (ginseng)
Lineage: Eukaryota; Viridiplantae; Streptophyta; Magnoliopsida; Apiales; Araliaceae
Description: long non-coding RNA (PGIN_LNC015750)
Source: RNAcentral